Long non-coding RNA from Trachemys scripta elegans, 917 nucleotides. RefSeq lists it as uncharacterized. NCBI's taxonomy places the organism in Eukaryota, Metazoa, Chordata, Testudines, Emydidae. The record is from RefSeq and is a predicted model, not a curated record. The transcript has 3 exons.
UAACUUUAUUUUACACACUAUAAUGAAAAUACCAAGCACAGCUCUGAAGAGGGCUUAGAAGAAAGUUUAUGAUGAAAUAAAAACAUUACAUCAACCUGGAAACAUCUUCAUAAAAUCAAAUUCUCCUGGUAUACAAGAAGCACAGCAUGCUAUUUAAAACCAUACUACAGCUUCGUAAGGGAAGAAAAAGGGCAAGGAGUACAAAGUCCUUCAUUAAAAGGAAACCCUUGUAAAACCUGUGCUAUGCUGCCCUGCAACAUACUUCAGAGAACAAUGAUACAUUCCCAACAAGAUAAAUACCAACCUGUUUUUCAAAGUCAGCAUAUCUAUAACUUCACUGAAGGGAGCCAUUACUCAGAAGCUUUCCAAGAGAAAUGUGUUCUUUAAAAUCUCCUCUCUUAAAACUGUAAGUCUACAAAAUCAUGACUACACUCAGCAAAAACAAAACUCCGUUACAGGAUACGAGGAGGAUGUAUCAUUGGGACUGCUCGAUUGAACUGUUUUCUGCAUUCCACUAAAGGACAAACACAGACAAAUGGCAUCAGGGUAAUAUUUCCAGUUCUCCAUCACACGGGAGUACUGAAUAUGAUGUUGCAAAAUUAAUGCAAACGUUAUUUUGAAGCCUUGAAAGUCAAGUCACAACUUGUCUAUUUUAUAUUGGAAAGAAAUAAAUCAAGACCAAAGGGCAAAUUUUGUGUUUCAGAAAAUCCAAUUUUACCCUGCAGUACAUUCUUCAAUUGCAACAACACUCCUGAAAAGGGAUGAACUCAAAGGGCCACAUACCCUCGAAUCCUGUAGUGGCGCUCACAUUAUUGCGUAUGGAAGAUGCACAAGGGAAGAGAAGUAUGUAGCUUUAAGUAUGUUGGUAGAGUUAGUUCAAGAAAAGCAAGGAUAUGAAGAAAAAUAAGACAAACUAU